UACACCUGUUCCCAUGCCGAACACAGAAGUUAAGCUUCUUCACGCCGAGAGUAGUUGGUGGGAAACUGCCUGCGAGGGUAGGAAGCUGCCACGC
Molecule: ribosomal RNA, 94 nt
Filed under: Lacticaseibacillus paracasei
Lineage: Bacteria; Bacillati; Bacillota; Bacilli; Lactobacillales; Lactobacillaceae
Also listed under: 2 other names
Source: RNAcentral